UGAAGAGAGGAGCUUGCUCUUCUUGGAUGAGUUGCNNNACGGGUGAGUAACGCGUAGGUAACCUGCCUUGUAGCGGGGGAUAACUAUUGGAAACGAUAGCUAAUACCGCAUAACAAUGGAUGACACAUGUCAUUUAUUUGAAAGGGGCAAUUGCUCCACUACAAGAUGGACCUGCGUUGUAUUAGCUAGUAGGUGAGGUAAUGGCUCACCUAGGCGACGAUACAUAGCCGACCUGAGAGGGUGAUCGGCCACACUGGGACUGAGACACGGCCCAGACUCCUACGGGAGGCAGCAGUAGGGAAUCUUCGGCAAUGGGGGCAACCCUGACCGAGCAACGCCGCGUGAGUGAAGAAGGUUUUCGGAUCGUAAAGCUCUGUUGUAAGUCAAGAACGGGUGUGAGAGUGGAAAGUUCACACUGUGACGGUAGCUUACCAGAAAGGGACGGCUAACUACGUGCCAGCAGCCGCGGUAAUACGUAGGUCCCGAGCGUUGUCCGGAUUUAUUGGGCGUAAAGCGAGCGCAGGCGGUUUGAUAAGUCUGAAGUUAAAGGCUGUGGCUCAACCAUAGUUCGCUUUGGAAACUGUCAAACUUGAGUGCAGAAGGGGAGAGUGGAAUUCCAUGUGUANCGGUGAAAUGCGUAGAUAUAUGGAGGAACACCGGUGGCGAAAGCGGCUCUCUGGUCUGUAACUGACGCUGAGGCUCGAAAGCGUGGGGAGCGAACAGGAUUAGAUACCCUGGUAGUCCACGCCGUAAACGAUGAGUGCUAGGUGUUGGAUCCUUUCCGGGAUUCNGUGCCNCANCNNACGCAUUAANCACUCCGCCUGGGGAGUACGACCGCAGGNUGAAACUCAAAGGAAUUGACGGGGGCCCNCACAANCGGUGGANCAUGUGGUUUANUUCNAAGCNACNCGANNACNUUACCNNGNCNUGACAUCCCNAUGCUAUUUC
This 948-nucleotide ribosomal RNA is filed under the name Streptococcus thermophilus. RNAcentral's name for it is "partial 16S ribosomal RNA". It matches the Rfam family "Bacterial small subunit ribosomal RNA", at positions 67 to 1001 of the family's 1533-position model. Lineage: Bacteria; Bacillati; Bacillota; Bacilli; Lactobacillales; Streptococcaceae. The record is from RNAcentral.